Molecule: transfer RNA, 71 nt
Filed under: Jeotgalibacillus malaysiensis
Lineage: Bacteria; Bacillati; Bacillota; Bacilli; Caryophanales; Caryophanaceae
Description: tRNA-Und (NNN) (tRNA-Und-NNN-1-1)
Rfam family: tRNA
About the family: Transfer RNA (tRNA) molecules are approximately 80 nucleotides in length. Their secondary structure includes four short double-helical elements and three loops (D, anti-codon, and T loops).
Source: RNAcentral
UCCCGUUUAAUUCAGUGGCAGAGAACUGGUACACCCGGGAGACAUCGGUUCGAUUCCGAUAGCGGGAGCCA